Molecule: long non-coding RNA, 1415 nt
Filed under: Capsicum annuum
Lineage: Eukaryota; Viridiplantae; Streptophyta; Magnoliopsida; Solanales; Solanaceae
Description: long non-coding RNA (CANN_LNC015638)
Source: RNAcentral
UUCCAGUUCCUGCGACUAAAAAGGUAAUACUUUCCCUAUUCUCAUCUUAUGCGCUCACCAUUUAUUUGAUUUAUUUAAAUCUGGUUGGUUAGUUUGAAUAUGAUUUGGUGUGUAGAUUAGUCUUUUGAGGUGUUGGGUUUGAUUGCUGGAAUGGAAUAGUAAGGAUCUAAAUAUUAACCUUCCCUUUUUGUGCUUCAUGAUUUUUCUGUACAAUUUCUUGUUUGUUUAAGCCAUGGUUUUUGAUCGUAAUUCUUUCUCGCUGUUUAUAAUAUUUAGAUUCUUUUGGGGUAUUCUGGAUUAUUAUUAUCAUUUUGUUGGUAGUGUUGGAUUUAGCGGUAGUGCGAAAUGAGACAGCUGCUAGCAUAAGUUGUUCAACAGAUUUAGAUUUUGAUGAAUCCUUGUGCGAUCUUCUUGUGUGCCAAGCACUGUAUUCCCUUGAAAUGGCUUGAAUAGCUUCCUUAUUAGACGAUGUUACCUGGCAGUAAUAGAGCUUUUCUUUGUGAAAUAUAUGGCCUCUUGUUGAAAUUAUUGUCUGGAAACUAUUUUUCUUUUCUGCAUGUUGUAGUAAAGUUUGACAUUAAUUUGAUUGUAUUUGAAACCAAUACAUGUUCUUUGAAGUGAUAAACUGCCAAUGUUAACUCAUUUAUAAAAAACUUACUGGUACACCAAAUUCAUAUCAACAUAGAUUUUGUUUACUCUUUUAUCAUCUUUAUGAUACAUUUUAUCUAGUUUAUCAAUUAGCAUGCCAAAGUAUAUUUUUUGAUGUAAAGGAUAUUAAAAGGAUGUGAACGAAAAAUCAUAACUUGAAUUGCAAUUACGUAUUAUGAUUUGUGUCUCACGGUGGGCAAGGGUGCAUUGGUUUUGCUUUUCUUUCUUUCGGUUAAUUCUCAUCCUUAUAGCAUACUCAUAUGAAUACUAAUCUUUUUCUUUUUAUCUCUUAUGCAUGGAAUCCUCCGUUGAGUCCCUCGGACUCUCUUCCCUCGCAUUUCGUGGGUUAAACGCAACUUGCAUUGAGUCAAGACCCACGGCAAGUCCUAAAUGGACUAAUGCAUGAAGAAAUUAGAUCAAUACAGUGCUGGUAUUCACCAGAUAUACGUAAAUUUACAGUUGCAGGAAAAGGGAAAUGAAAAAAGGAAGCUGAUUAUACGGGGACGACUGUAUUUGUGUGAAUGUGACUGAAAUACGGUCAUAUAUACACCAUAUAUACACAAUAAACUCUGGAAAAAAUAGCUGCAAUAUACAACUGAUAUACAUGAAAAAAUGGAUUGAAAAUCCAUGGAGUUUAGGCCCAAAGGCUGGGCAGCCCAUUAAUCGGCCCAAAGGGCCCAAUUUUAACUCUUCUUUUAUUCCCUGUUCUUAUUUAUAAGUAUUUCCUUGAACACUCUUAACUAAUCAAUCUAGAUAAAUUCCCUAAG